Molecule: ribosomal RNA, 407 nt
Filed under: uncultured bacterium
Lineage: Bacteria
Description: partial 16S ribosomal RNA
Rfam family: Bacterial small subunit ribosomal RNA
Source: RNAcentral
GACGAACGCUGGCGGCGUGCCUAAUACAUGCAAGUAGGACGCAGUUGCGAACGGGGGAGUAACGCGUAGGUAACUACCUAUUAGAGGGGGCUAACUAUUGGAAACGAUAGCUAAUACCGCAUACUAGUAGAUGGACCUGCGUUGUAUUAGCUAGUAGGUAGGGUAAUGGCCUACCUAGGCAACGAUACAUAGCCGAGCUGGGAGGGGGGACGGGCACAAUGGGACUGGGACACGGCCCAGACUCCUACGGGAAGGAGCAGUAGGGGAUCUUUGGCAAUGGGGGGAAACCUGACCGAACAACGCCGGGUGGGUGAAGGAGGGUUUCGGGUCGUAAAGCUCUGUUGUUAAGGAAGCGGUACUUAACCAGAAAGGGACGGCUAACUACGUGCCAGCAGCCGCGGUAAUUC